UACAGAGGUCCCAAGCGUUGUUCGGAUUCACUGGGCGUAAAGGGUGCGUAGGCGGUUUGAUAAGUCUGAUGUGAAAUCCCGCAGCUUAACUGCGGAACUGCAUUGGAUACUGUUUGACUAGAGGAAUGGAGGGGAGACUGGAAUACUUGGUGUAGCAGUGAAAUGCGUAGAUAUCAAGUGGAACACCAGUGGCGAAGGCGAGUCUCUGGACAUUUCCUGACGCUGAGGCACGAAGGCCAGGGGAGCAAACGGG
Molecule: ribosomal RNA, 253 nt
Filed under: uncultured bacterium
Lineage: Bacteria
Description: partial 16S ribosomal RNA
Rfam family: Bacterial small subunit ribosomal RNA
Source: RNAcentral